AUUGAGUUAUAUGGUGCAUCAGACUUAGGUUUAGAUAGGUUAAGCAUUGAAAGGACAACAUAUUUAGACCAUCUUUCGUCCAAAUUCCAAUAUCAAAGAAAAAAAGAAAUUGCAAUAUGGUGAAUGACAUAAGACAAGAUUCUCUUGUAAUUGAUCCAAAGGUUAUUGUCAGAACCUUUAGAAAAAGUUUUAUCUCUUUCUCAGUGCAGAUAAAAAAUGUCCUCUGUCAAAAUUUUAUAUGUAGCAUAAUAUUCAAAAGUCAAGCACUACAGCAAAGAAACUCAAUUUUAAUCUGGGAAAACGUUUUCAGACAUAACCAUCUCUCCUCAGUACCAUUUACAUCAGAAACACAAUUAUUACAGAAUAAAUUUCAAAUUAUUCUCAGAGAAUAAUUUGAAAUUUAUUCUGUGCUUGACUUUUGUAUGUUAUUUUAUACUAUCUCAAAACUUUAUUUUUUUAAC
This 461-nucleotide long non-coding RNA is filed under the name Androctonus crassicauda. Lineage: Eukaryota; Metazoa; Arthropoda; Arachnida; Scorpiones; Buthidae. The record is from RNAcentral.